GACGGAGGAGGCAAGCAUUGUCCGGAAUUAUUGGGCGUAAAGAACACGUAGGCGGUUUAUCAAGUCAUAUGUGAAAACCUUGGGCUUAACUUAAGGAUUGCAUAUGAUACUGGUAAACUAGAGUAUAGGAGAGGAAAGUGGAAUUCCUAGUGUAGCGGUGAAAUGCGUAGAUAUUAGGAGGAAUACCAGUGGCGAAGGCGACUUUCUGGACUUAUACUGACGCUGAGGAACGAAAGCGUGGGGAGCAAACAGGAUUAGAUACCCUGGUAGUCCCU
This 275-nucleotide ribosomal RNA is filed under the name uncultured prokaryote. RNAcentral describes it as "partial 16S ribosomal RNA". It matches the Rfam family "Bacterial small subunit ribosomal RNA", at positions 524 to 798 of the family's 1533-position model. The record is from RNAcentral.